GUUAAUAGGCCUCUUUUCUCCCCGCUGCCAAGUGGCGUGCGGUGCAUUGUGUUUGUGGUACCGCAGUGGAGGGCAGGUGUUCCAUCCACACUGGAUCUGAUUCCCAGCCAGAACGUUUCAGAGGCUGGAGGUGACGCACAGCGACGAGUUCCUGAUUGCUGCUGACACGGGGAGAAGCGGAAGGAGGCUUUUAGGUGAUUUUAGGCCUUCACCAAGAGGAGGGGAAGCACAGAGCAGCAGCUCUGGGGAAGGGACUGGAGUGACCCUGUUCAUCUCUCCGGUCGCCACAUCAGGAGGUGGCCUCAUUCACAUCACCCAACACUGCAGGCUGCACCCCGCACGUCUGCCCCUGCCUCGCACCACCAUGGAGCGCUGUGGACUCUUUUUCUUGUCCAGAUCACAGACCUUAAAGAUCUCAGAACCCCAGGACCAUCCAGCUCCAAGGAUGAAGCUCAAAACCCACUUUCUCCUCCGAGGUGAACUUUCCUCGUAAAACUAAAUGAAGCCUCAUAAAAUAAUUUCCUUCCAUGACUCAAAAGUAUCAUCGCCAUAACACACACAGAAAUCUGGCAAGCUCCCCUUUUUAAUCACGUCUCAUGAUAUAAAAGGGAAUUGUUUCUUUAAACCACCUCAUGUCUCUCCAAUGUAUUUACAGUGUGAGUCACUUCAUCCAGGGGUAUUUGCAGUAAUAAAAUAUUUGAGAAGAAAAAAAUAGAAGUCUCCUCCCAUCUCUUGGGGGUUUCCCUCUGGAAAACUUGUUUCUAUCAGUGUCUAGAAGGCUGCCCUUCCACGUUCCUGUGUACCACGUUUGAGUCUGAUGGGGACACAGUCUUGACUCAGAGGGCAUUUAACAGUUUAAACUAUAUUUGAAAUGUUUUCCUGUUUGCCAGACCCUAGUUUUGAUCCUUUUUCUUUUAAUUAUGCCAGUCUACAGGUUAGAGAGAAAUGAUGCCAGGGAUCCUGUCAUCUUUUAGGUACAACACAAAAGAGUUUUGCUUUUUUGUUUAUUUCCACUUAUUUUUCUUCUCUCCCAUGUUUCCCCCCAACAUUUGGAUCUGCCCAGGAAGAGCUUCGUAUCUCACUAAGCAAAAUUCUUUCCUAUUUUACUGUAGUCCAAUAUAUAUACAUAUUGCAUUUUAAAAGAUGAAUUUUGCAAAAAGUGAGCUGAAAGAACUUACGCAUCUUGAGCUCAGUGCUUUUUUAACAAUGAAAUGCAAACCACAGGGUAAUGCAACGUAUACAAUCCAGAAGAAGCAAGACCUGUCAUGACUGGGUCCAUCCUUCUCCAAUCUCGCCUCCCUUUGUGGUCAGCAAGAGCUAUUUGAGUCUGUGUUGGCUUUAUGAACCGUAAGCUCCCAAAAGGAAGACUUGCCCAAGUUCUGGAGCCUGAAUUCUGUGUCACACACCUUCCUACCACUCAUGCAGUGAUCUUUCCUUCCCUCCAUACAUUGCUUUGGGCCAGUCCCCCAUUCAACCGCCCAGCUCUGUAGCUCCCAAGAGCUUUAAAAAAAAAAAAAAAAGACUCCCACUAACCCCAUUAU
Molecule: long non-coding RNA, 1541 nt
Organism: Leopardus geoffroyi (Geoffroy's cat)
Lineage: Eukaryota; Metazoa; Chordata; Mammalia; Carnivora; Felidae
Exons: 2
Source: RefSeq, a predicted model, not a curated record